This 1080-nucleotide long non-coding RNA is filed under the name Mytilus galloprovincialis (Mediterranean mussel). The record is from RNAcentral. Lineage: Eukaryota; Metazoa; Mollusca; Bivalvia; Mytilida; Mytilidae.
UUAAACGGAUAGUAGCUACGAUUUUCAUUAAAAUUACUUUUUUAAUCUAUAUGCCGGAUUUUGUACAAAAAGUAAAAUAAUUAUGAUUAAAACAAUUACUGGUUACGUUCCAUUAAGCAUUUAGAAGCUUUUUAACGUUUAACACCUACAUUUAUUUAUUGUCUAUAGAUAAUAAUUCGAUGUCAAGCCCAACCCUUAUUCAUAUGACCUUUACUCUUCAGUUCCCAAUGCGCAAUCGCACAUUGUGCCUCGAAGGAAAAUGGUCGAACAGGGGAAUGUUAUCGCGGAAAUGGUACGCGAAUUUACAGUUUCAGCGAGAAAAGAAACAAAAAAGAGGUGCAGACAAGUUAUUGUAAAUUAAAAAUACUGAAAAGCGUCGAUGAGAUCGGUCAAUAAAAUCACUCAAAACACCUGCGACGCAGGCAAAGUCAAACAGAAGUAGCCGACGGUUUGCGUAAUGUUUACAUUUCUUAAAUUUUCCAGAUCACAUGAAAAAAAAUCUCAACGUGUUCAUAAUUGUCAAAAAUAUGUUUAUGAAUUUACGGGCAGUAAUCUCCCACCUUAGAAGAAAUUAGAAAUCAACUUCCUAAACUUUAGUAUUAUUCUUCAAGUGCAUCCUUCAUGGAGGCCCCGAUUUAACACACAAACACGUGUAUACAUUAUCGGGAUGGUUGGUCAUACAAAUGUAAUAACAAGUGUAUAAUAUCGCCAUUGUUGGAGAAUCUUGGGUUGGAAUAAUAUGCCGGUAUUUAUUAUAUUUUUUAUUUACAUAAUUUGAUAAAUGGCGUCAAAUAUGUACGUUUAAUAAAGAGUAAUUAUCAAAUAUGUAAGAAAACAAAAAGCACGUGUUCGUAUCUAUAUAUAUCUUGGUUAGCUCACUCGCUAUGUCGGCAAAGUUCGGGAAGUAAACCCGAUGCAUAAUUAAUGAGGUGAAUAGGCACACAACACGAUAUGAAUUAUCAAUUAUUUAACACUUCUGUAGUUUAUUAAAACAUUUUAGCGAUCUUAUUGCUUAUAUUUAGUACAUAUCUUUGAUUUUAGUAGCUUUAAAACUUGUUCAUAAUUUUGUCAAAAUCGUAG